AUUUCUGGAAUCCGGCCGCGCUGACGGCGACUAGUGUGGCCCGAGCUGUGGCGGCGGCGGAGCCCUCCUCCUAACAGUGUCCUGAGCGGCUCCGAGCGCCGUAGUGACCUGACCUGACCUGACCUGAUCUCACGGACCGGGGUGUGCUGUGAUUGUUAACUCGCCACACUCGCGCCCGAGAUGGGCAAGACGUCCAACAUGUACAGUGCGCGAGUGUCCUCUCAGAGCCGGAGCUCCAUCAGCUCGACGACAGUGCACCAUGGCACGACGUCAGCGUUCCCGAGUGCUGAGCCCUCCGACCUGGAGAGCUUCUUCAGCUCCACGGAGAUGGGGGCCAACAAGAAGCUGUUUGGCAAGGACCUCAGCGAGUAUGACAACAUGGACAUGGACGACAUGUUGGACCAGCUGACCGCAGAGGAGAUAGAGCUGCUCACCAGGGACGUGGAUCCCGACGACUCCCUGAUGCCGCCCGAUCAACGGACAUCCUAUCGGUGCGACAAGUCGGCCACGGGGCCUCUGAACAGAAAACAGCUCAUCGAUCACAUCAACGAACAGGCGAUGACGGAGCCCGACCGACCCGAGCUGGUCCCCUACGAGCCCGGCACCAUCCGCGGUAAAAAGUGGGUGCCACCACCGCCACCGGCCGAGGAGCAGCGAGCCGAUGAACAGGUGGCCCUGGACAUGGGGGACGAGUACGAGUCGGCACUGGCCGACGCCACCGAGAGCGAGAUGGUCGACCUGGCAGCUAUCCUGGGCUUCCACUCGAUGAUGAACCAGGACCAGUACCACGCCUCGUUGCUCGGCAAGAAGCUGGACACGGAGGAGGUUGGCUGGAGUGGCAUCACGCGCGCCUCGCGGCCCAAAGCGAUGGCGCCCGAGCCGCCCAACACCACCGACCCGGAGCAGUCGAUCGAGCGCAUCAAACGCGACGACCCGGAACUGCGCCGGCUCAACCUCAACAAUGUCAAGACGAUAUCUGAAGAGCAGUUUGGCCGGCUGUGCGAGGCGGCCAGCGCCAACAGUCGCCUGGAGGGCCUUCUCUGUUCCAACACCCACAUGGGAGACACGUACGCAGAGAAACUGGUCCAGCUCAUCGAGAACAAUCCCAAUAUCAAGGAGAUCAGCAUCGAGUCCAACUUCAUCAGCCCUCCGAUGAUCGCCAGGCUCGUGAAGGCUCUCCUCGUGCAUAAAAGCGUCGAAACCUUCAGAGCCGCCAACCAAAGGUCGCAGGUGCUGGGGAACAAAAUCGAAAUGGAGAUCACAAAGUACGUGGAACAGAACCCCAACCUGCUACAGUUCGGACUGCACUUUGACUUCAACGACGCUCGUGCAAGAGUCUGCAACCAGCUGCAGAAGAACCGCGACCGCUUCCGCACCGGCAAGAGGUCGCGGCUCAGCUGUACUCUGUUCCGCGACCUCAUUUGGAAGAAACUAACGUAAUCAAGCACGCUUGGCACGGCGAGACGCUGGCUCUGACGCAAACAAGGCCAAAUGAACAGGGCCGUGGCCGCGUUUUAGCCAGCUUGUGGUGCCCAGAAGCUGACGGCUUUCGCUGCGACCUGUCAAUCGGAGCCGACGGUAGCUGCUCUGGCCUGUUCCGCGGUAUUGACGAGUGCACCGAUCAGCCGGCAUUGAGACAUUUCUGCAGGCUGCAAGCAUCGCGUUGCAUGACGCGGUACCAUGACUUGCCUCCGGGCGCCGUUCUUUCUGUGCCCGUGCCCCCGACGGACCCCGCAGUGCGCCGUCAGAGAGGAGACAGUGACUUCCAAAGCGCAGUGCCAGCGGACUACGUUUGUGACGCGUUUGCGACGUCGUGGAGUAGCCUCCAGAACGCUUGUCUGAUACGGCGCCGGCUGGCCGGACUUGUUUGUGAACGAGCGUCUUGUAGAGCCUUUGUCGACAGUCCCUCCCGUCUCACCCGCCGCCCCCAGUGCUGUGGUGCUCUCUGUGCGCAUCAGCGCUCAUCAAUGGAACGCGCGUUGACGAUCAGUCAGCCGUUCGGCGUGUGUCGAACUCAGCUGGUCUCUGCCCGAGUGGCCGCAGCGCACUGUAUCCUAUGGUGCGAUUAUGCGUGGUAUGCAAGUACUGUCUGUAUGUCAUGGUAAUAGGCCGGGAGCCCCCAUUGCUUAAAUACCGUACCGUAUAAUUACUCUUUUCGGUACACAUACAGCGCGUCCAGUUACCGUACCAUGCCUCGAUUGAAGUACCGCUCCGUACUAUGUCGUACCAUGCUGUAUCAUGAGGUGAGGUACGUCAGCGUUCAGUCCCGUACCGUAUAAAACGAAAUCCAUUGGUAAGACACCGUAGCCCGUACCGUAUCGUAUUUACCCGUACCUCCUAGUAAGGUCCCGUCCCCUAUCAUACCGCACCACGUGCCAUAGAGCUCCCCCGGUCGGAAACUCGACGGAAGGUGCAGAGUGAUGUCACCAUCUGCAGUGGAGCGCGAGCUGCAGAGGCGGUCACUCGAGCUGCGGCUCUUAUUUUUGUUUGGAAAAUAUAGAUGUAGAAUUUUAGUGGUGCUCGACAGAAGUGUAUUCAUGUACUCAUAUGCCAUAAAUAAAACGGAACAUUGGGAGUUGAA
RNAcentral lists this unclassified non-coding RNA (2581 nucleotides) under Amphibalanus amphitrite. RNAcentral's name for it is "tropomodulin-like, transcript variant X1". Lineage: Eukaryota; Metazoa; Arthropoda; Thecostraca; Balanomorpha; Balanidae. The record is from RNAcentral.